This 250-nucleotide ribosomal RNA is filed under the name uncultured bacterium. RNAcentral's name for it is "partial 16S ribosomal RNA". It matches the Rfam family "Bacterial small subunit ribosomal RNA", at positions 524 to 773 of the family's 1533-position model. The record is from RNAcentral.
UACGUAGGUGGCAAGCGUUGUCCGGAUUUAUUGGGCGUAAAGAGCGCGCAGGCGGUUCGCAUAGUCCGAGGUGAAAUCUCCCGGCUCAACUGGGAGGGGUCUUCGGAUACUGGCGGGCUUGAGGAGAGCAGAGGUGAGCGGAAUCCUCGGUGUAGUGGUGAAAUGCGUAGAUAUCGAGGGGAACACCAGCGGCGAAGGCGGCUCACUGGGCUCCACCUGACGCUGAGGCGCGAAAGCGUGGGGAGCGAAC